CGUGAAUGAGAUUCAAUAUUUAAACAUUGAGUUGAUUAGUGGUUACUGGGACUUUAAAGAUGUAAAAAGUUUUUUUGUGGGGCAAAGUACUAAAAGCAAAGUAAUCAGUAGGGAAAUUGCUUUGACAUCCCUAGUGAAUUAUCGUCUUUUAAAAUGUUUCUCUUAAAUUGAUUUAUAAAAACAUUACUCAUUGUGUUUUAUACAUAUAUUUCUAUGCUAUACACAUUGGUGGUUUUAUUUUUAGCUUCAUUCCACCUUUCUGGGAGACAAACCACUCUGUAAAUCACUUACCCAUUUAUUGUGUUGCCUGUUAAAGGGACUCAAUGAAGUGGUGCCAUUUUAACCCUGCAUCUGAAACUGUUGCUGCUCUGCAGAAACAGCAAUGUUUUCAUUGCAGUGUCAACCUG
Molecule: non-coding RNA, 407 nt
Organism: Pelobates cultripes (western spadefoot toad)
Lineage: Eukaryota; Metazoa; Chordata; Amphibia; Anura; Pelobatidae
Source: the annotation of a GenBank genome assembly